RNAcentral lists this transfer RNA (89 nucleotides) under Mogibacterium diversum. RNAcentral describes it as "tRNA-Ser". It matches the Rfam family "tRNA". From Rfam's summary of the family: Transfer RNA (tRNA) molecules are approximately 80 nucleotides in length. Their secondary structure includes four short double-helical elements and three loops (D, anti-codon, and T loops). The record is from RNAcentral. RNAcentral also lists the same sequence under 2 other names. Lineage: Bacteria; Bacillati; Bacillota; Clostridia; Peptostreptococcales; Anaerovoracaceae.
GGAGAAGUAUCGAAGUGGUCAUAACGAGCCGCACUCGAAAUGCGGUUGCUCGCAAGGGCACGUGGGUUCGAAUCCCACCUUCUCCGCCA